UACGGAGGACCCGAGCGUUAUCCGGAUUCAUUGGGUUUAAAGGGUGCGUAGGCGGACCUGUAAGUCAGUGGUGAAAUCCCUUCGCUUAACGAAGGAACUGCCGUUGAUACUGCUGGUCUUGAGUACAGUUGAGGUGGGCGGAAUGUGUCAUGUAGCGGUGAAAUGCUUAGAUAUGACACAGAACACCGAUUGCGAAGGCAGCUCGCUAAACUGUAACUGACGCUGAGGCACGAAAGCGUGGGUAGCAAACAGG
Molecule: ribosomal RNA, 253 nt
Filed under: uncultured bacterium
Lineage: Bacteria
Description: partial 16S ribosomal RNA
Rfam family: Bacterial small subunit ribosomal RNA
Source: RNAcentral